This 434-nucleotide ribosomal RNA is filed under the name Acinetobacter baumannii. Its description in RNAcentral is "bacterial SSU rRNA". It matches the Rfam family "Bacterial small subunit ribosomal RNA", at positions 100 to 527 of the family's 1533-position model. Lineage: Bacteria; Pseudomonadati; Pseudomonadota; Gammaproteobacteria; Moraxellales; Moraxellaceae. The record is from RNAcentral.
UGGGGGUUGAGUAAAUGCUUAGGAAUCUGCCUAUUAGUGGGGGACAACAUCUCGAAAGGGAUGCUAAUACCGCAUACGUCCUACGGGAGAAAGCAGGGGAUCUUCGGACCUUGCGCUAAUAGAUGAGCCUAAGUCGGAUUAGCUAGUUGGUGGGGUAAAGGCCUACCAAGGCGACGAUCUGUAGCGGGUCUGAGAGGAUGAUCCGCCACACUGGGACUGAGACACGGCCCAGACUCCUACGGGAGGCAGCAGUGGGGAAUAUUGGACAAUGGGGGGAACCCUGAUCCAGCCAUGCCGCGUGUGUGAAGAAGGCCUUAUGGUUGUAAAGCACUUUAAGCGAGGAGGAGGCUACUUUAGUUAAUACCUAGAGAUAGUGGACGUUACUCGCAGAAUAAGCACCGGCUUAUCUCUGUGCCAGCAGCCGCGGUAAUACA